Molecule: ribosomal RNA, 497 nt
Filed under: uncultured bacterium
Lineage: Bacteria
Description: partial 16S ribosomal RNA
Rfam family: Bacterial small subunit ribosomal RNA
Source: RNAcentral
GAUGAACGCUGGCGGCGUGCCUAAUACAUGCAAGUCGAGCGAACAGACGAGGAGCUUGCUCCUCUGACGUUAGCGGCGGACGGGUGAGUAACACGUGGAUAACCUACCUAUAAGACUGGGAUAACUUCGGGAAACCGGAGCUAAUAUCGGAUAAUAUAUUGAACCGCAUGGUUCAAUAGUGAAAGACGGUUUUGCUGUCGCUUAUAGAUGGAUCCGCGCCGCAUUAGCUAGUUGGUAAGGUAACGGCUUACCAAGGCAACGAUGCGUAGCCGACCUGAGAGGGUGAUCGGCCACACUGGAACUGAGACACGGUCCAGACUCCUACGGGAGGCAGCAGUAGGGAAUCUUCCGCAAUGGGCGAAAGCUUGACGGAGCAACGCCGCGUGAGUGAUGAAGGUCUUCGGAUCGUAAAACUCUGUUAUUAGGGAAGAACAAAUGUGUAAGUAACUAUGCACGUCUUGACGGUACCUAAUCAGAAAGCCACGGCUAACUACGUG